GACCGCAGCACCCAGUCAGUCACUGCAGCCAGCUCGCUUCGGCGAGGACAUGCAGGCACCCCUCCUCUCCUCUGCAGUGUGCCACAGUGCUGGAUGAAGACUAUUGUUCUGGUGCCCUCGUCUUCCUCUGGCACCACACCUCACCCACCACACCAGCCCACUUCGUAAACAAAUGGCUUUCAGCCUACUUUCCUAUAACAGAAAACAGAGCAGAGUGGAGUCAGCAUUCACAGUCAGAGGCAGGCGCAAGCACCAGAUAAACGCCCGCUUUAAGUGUGUGUAUACUGUAUGUACAUGUGAGUGCAAUUUAACUAUGCUUUGUGUUUCUCUGUUUAUCUUUCUGUCAUUUUUCACAAUGCACUGAGUAAGAAGGCCUGGAUGGAAUCUGCAGACAGUUUUCACACUUUCAGUUGCUGUGUGAUUCUGUCUGAUGGAUUAAAACAUGGUAAAAUGUGGUAAAUUGAUCUAAAAAUACAUAAGUAUUCUUGGUAUCUAAAUGAAUAAUCAUUAUUAGUGAAAGACAAACAUUGCAUUGCUGUGCAAAUGUGCAGAUUACACAUGGGCCUAGAAAUCACCAUUCUGUGUCUCGACAGAGCUAUUUAUAUUUCAUUCUUAUGAAAGAUGUUUGGUUUCAUCUUCUGAUCUGUUUUUCUUUUCCCAACUUAUGUAUAUUUUACGUCUGUCCUCUGUAUCAUCCCUCCUGCCUCUCAUUCCAUUUCCCAGCCACAAACACUGAGAAUAUUCCUUCCUUCUCUCUUUCUCUCUCUCUCUGUCUGUCUCUUUCUCUCUUUCUCCCUCUAUCUCCCCCCUUCCCAACCCUCUCUCUGUCAACUAAAGCCCUUUCAUAAUGAAUGGCAAGGUACGAUAAUAGCCUUUCGGUUGCUAUAGUAACCAGACAGGAGCUCUGUUCGUGCUGUAUUUUUGUCCUUUUUUUUUUUUUUCAAGGGGGCAAAUGACAGUGGAAUGUGAGGUGAAACCCUCCCUCUCACUUUCCCUCCUUCUCUUUCUCAUACAC
Long non-coding RNA from Sinocyclocheilus rhinocerous, 1015 nucleotides. RefSeq lists it as uncharacterized. The transcript has 3 exons. NCBI's taxonomy places the organism in Eukaryota, Metazoa, Chordata, Actinopteri, Cypriniformes, Cyprinidae. The record is from RefSeq and is a predicted model, not a curated record.